UUAAAUAAAUUCAUAUGUAUUAUAAUACAUAUAACCGGGAUAUGAAAUUUACUUUACAGUGACUCGUGGGCCCACAAGGAACAAAAGUGCACAAAGGCAGUAAACCUACAAUUUUUGGAGUAGUAAAGCCGACUAUAAUCAUUGACGAUAUCUGCUAUCCACAGGCUACCUCGGGCCUGAAAUGGUUGAAAAUGAGGGUGGUGAGAUUAUAAAAUCCCAGUGAGUAAACAGAUACCAUCUAAACCAUAUAAAGUCGAGUAAAUGGAGACAGAUAAAAUAGUUUAACAUACUGAAAUUCAUCACCUUUCAACUUGUUUCAACCAAAUAAAAUCAAUUUAUAUAAAUCGAGUAAUUAACAAGGCUUAUGAAUUUCUUAAAACUUUAGCUCGUGCCAAAAUCAUUAUCAUACUCAGUCAUCAGGGAUACCUUGGCUGAGGGCUAUCCCAAACUGAGUCCACCAAGGCUAUUAAAAGGUUAUGUACUCAUAAAUCAUGUUUUUAUUUUGAAAAUAUAGCCGUUCCUUGGCGUUGGUUGAGUUGGCCCUCACGUGGUGGUUUGGCGUGAAGUGAACUCUAAAAGCUAUACCUUGGGAGUUACCCUACUUGCCUCUCCAACCGAGGUAAGAAUAUGACCAGGUUUCGUGCCCCUCUAAUAGGCUAGUCCACAGAACCAGCCCACUGCAACAAGCUAAACCCACCAUACAAUAAAAUUUAACAACAUGACAUGGUAAUUUUAUCAUUAUCCAGCCUAUCAAGGCAAACAACAGUUUAUACAUUUUCAACGCAAAUACCAAUUCAGCCAUUCAUGCCAAUAUUGCCAUAAGCCAAUCAAUUAGAACCAUAAAUUCACAAUACAUCAAAUGGUCUCCAAUUACUCUAUUUUCAAAGCCAUCAUUUAAUUUCAAAACAAUUUAUAAAAUCAUUUCAUUUAAACACAUUUUAUUUAUAAAAUAAAAAAAUUAAUCAUUUAAUUCAUUUUCCAUAAAAUUCAUAAAAUCGGAUAAAAACCACUUUAGAUAAUUAAGAUGAUAGUAAGGUUACUCACAGUACUAGGAGUUCGAUAUAUGCCUAUUCCCGGUCUUCGGGCACAAUCUCUUUACCCUUGUUAGAGGGCUCACCACCU
RNAcentral lists this long non-coding RNA (1122 nucleotides) under Theobroma cacao (cacao). RNAcentral describes it as "long non-coding RNA (TCAC_LNC001627)". Lineage: Eukaryota; Viridiplantae; Streptophyta; Magnoliopsida; Malvales; Malvaceae. The record is from RNAcentral.